Molecule: transfer RNA, 75 nt
Filed under: Candidatus Levybacteria bacterium CG_4_9_14_0_2_um_filter_35_21
Lineage: Bacteria; Candidatus Levyibacteriota
Also listed under: 1 other name
Description: tRNA-Met
Rfam family: tRNA
About the family: Transfer RNA (tRNA) molecules are approximately 80 nucleotides in length. Their secondary structure includes four short double-helical elements and three loops (D, anti-codon, and T loops). Further hydrogen bonds mediate the characteristic L-shaped molecular structure. tRNAs have two regions of fundamental functional importance: the anti-codon, which is responsible for specific mRNA codon recognition, and the 3' end, to which the tRNAs corresponding amino acid is attached (by aminoacyl-tRNA synthetases). tRNAs cope with the degeneracy of the genetic code in two manners: having more than one tRNA (with a specific anti-codon) for a particular amino acid; and 'wobble' base-pairing, i.e. permitting non-standard base-pairing at the 3rd anti-codon position.
Source: RNAcentral
GCCAGGGUAGCUCAGUUGGUUCAGAGCACUUGAUUCAUACCCAAGAGGUCGGGAGUUCGAGCCUCCCCCCUGGUA